AUAACACCUCGAAGGCGUGAAAUUAUGUCUAGAGAUAUUCUUGUUUGUAUAAUAUUGUAAUUCAUCGGCAGUCUUUGCCAUUUGAGCAUUCCGGGAAAGGAAAAGGCUUGGAUUAUGAAAGCAGAAGCCAACAACUUCUGAUGCAUGUUGAUUAUUCUCUCGCUUAAGAAUUGAUGGAAUGUCUGACGGUUUUCUUAAGACCCUUUCGCUCUGUCGAGCAAAACGUGCUAGUGUUAGAAUAUACAUUCUCAGAUUAGUAUUAAUUGUAGGAUGAAUGUUUUCACACAAAAGGAAAAGAUAUCUCUGAGCCAUUCCUCAUAUGCAGCAGUCUAUGAGUAGUUGGUGCCUCACUGAAGUCAUAAGUUACCAUAAUUAUUCGGUGGAAUAUUAUGUCUACUUUGCUCUUUUUUUCUGUGAAUGUUCCUAGUGUUAUUAUCUUUUUUUUUUUUUAUCAAAAUAAGCAUUAACAGUAAAAAUUUGCCCUCAGGCCUUAGCUCGGGUCUUGCCAGAAAGCUCUUGUUUUAAACUAAGCCGGCGCGGUUGUAACUACAAGAAGAGAUGGCUUCGACAUUAAACGCUCAGGCUGUUUCAUCUUUAGUUCAAGUUACCUUUGAUUGGCUGGCAAAGUAACUUCUGUGCAAGAAUUCCUGUGACUUCGUUCAUCUUUUCUCUUUGAAGAACUGUACAUCAAUGAUAUCGAUCAGAUUUUACCAAGAAAGAUAGAGCGAACAAGAAACUACACAACUGAUGCUGGAGCACAAAAUCCCAAUGUGAAACCGCAUUAAGCAAAAUCGUUAAAGGAAAGUGCUGCUCCUAGACAGUAAUUUCCUAAUGCAAGGAGUCUAUGGCCUUUCCAGUUUUAGGAUGAUGAGAGCCCAAUCUUUGUUGCAAUAAAAACUAUUGGCACCCAUUUUAAUCUUCACUGACGGCCACUCGCAGAUUUACUUUAAAAGAUCACAAGUCUAACUAUUUUAUAAAAGAACUUAAGGAAAAAUUAUAGAAAGACAUAGGAAUGGUUGAUGCAUCGGGGAGAAAUGCCUCUAUUUAUUGUCAGGUACGGAGCUGCAGCAAUUAGAAUUGUUACGCCAAGAGGCGGUGGAUCUCUCACAUUUCCGUGGCGGUUGCAACAAACUCCAGGAUGGGACCAAUUCAGUGGUAAAGGCCGGGGUCUUUUUGUUUCUGGGCCGCGUCCGUUAUGAAGAGUUAACUCUACCCAAAUUGACUUGUUUACUGGAAGUCUUAGACAGUCGUCUAGAGGGAACGAAGCCAUGCUCUUUACCAAGCCCUUCGUGUAUAAGACCUCUUUGUUUAAUGGAAUAAGGCAGACAGCAGUCAUGUGAUGGCGUCAUGGUCGACACGGGUUUUAUCUCACCUUUUAUCGUGGAGAUCAUCUAACGCUAAGACCGGUGUUUUGUUCAAAGAAGGCCGGUUGGGGAUACAUUGUGUUUGUAAAUGUCUAUGUGGAUCUUGGCUGGUAUGUUUGCAGUUACUUUUGAAUCGAGUUUGUUGGUCUUUGUUCUGAAAUGUAUAUGGCAGUGUACAUUGGUUAGCAGAAAUUAUCGCUUGCCGGAACUUGAAUAAUGUUGCAGGGACUUGUUUCUCUAUGAUGUGCUGAAUCUUCGUUUCUUUAAAAUUAUUGAAGAAAUCAUGGCCUUAUUUAUCCAGAACACUAAGUCUGAGCUCGGUUGUACGUCUGAAAGCACUUUUAGCGUCCAUUUAUGUGCUAUCAUUACCGCGAUUGAGCACAGAAGGGACUGAAUUAUAACCAGAAACCUUCCUUCCCCGGUUAGAGAGGCCUUCGAGUCUACAAACAAAGUUAACACUCCUGAUGUGAAGAGACGGGGUCACACUGCCAAACUGCCAUGGUUUGAAAAGCGCGAAACAGAGCUUGUAACUGUAACUGAAACUUGUGCCCAACAAGUGGGCAAGUUCAAGGGAAAAAAUCUGAACUUGGAAACGCAUUUGCGUAAGAAAGCUCCGAAGAGCUUGCUUCAAGAGGACAAACAACGAUCACAAACACGAAGAGUUAUUGUCGAAAGUUCAGACAGUCUUUGUGGAUAAUUGGUUUUUUAAGCUGUGGCUGAUGCUCUUCGAACUGAACGCUCUGUCGCUGGUCAGCGAAUUAAAUGUAAUGUUUAUCAUCUUUAAACGAUCCCUAGUAUUAAAUAGCAAGUUCGUGUUUGUUAUUGUAACCAGAAUUUGCUCAGGUAGUUUCAAGAGGUAUUUCAGGUUUAUUCUUACAAAAUUUUUAGAAGUCUCGAAAAAUGUAAUGCUAGAAACUGCAACAUGUUGUUAAAUACAAACAUUAACUGGUUAAGGAGAUUGAACCAUUUGCAAAACUUUUCAUGCAUUAGUUGGGGUAAAAAUGAAUGAAUCGACUUCU
This 2383-nucleotide long non-coding RNA is filed under the name Pocillopora damicornis (cauliflower coral). RNAcentral's name for it is "uncharacterized LOC113675198". The record is from RNAcentral. Lineage: Eukaryota; Metazoa; Cnidaria; Anthozoa; Scleractinia; Pocilloporidae.